CUGAUACGGUGGCUUAUAACCUUUUGAUUUAUGGUUGCUGCAUCGCUGGAGAAAUGUCGAAAGCUUUUGAAUUGCGUGAUGAGAUGAUAAGAAGUGGUCUGAAGGUGUCUCAUGCCACAUUUGCUUCUUUAGUCAAUGGAACCUGAAAAAUGAGCUCCCCACAUCUGCUAGAAUCAGUUACUACAAUUCAGUAUUGACUAUCAAAAUUCUGGAUACUUUAUACAGGACGUGAUCAUGUCAACCAUAAUUCUUUACACUAAAAUGCCGUAUCCAUGAAUGGUUCAAGGCCCCACCUUUUUAUCUGAUGACCAUGAACUAUGAGUUGGGCAUCUUGAGAACUUCGAGGGAGACCCAUGUACCAAAGAUGGUACAACUGUCAUAAGUCAGAAGAGGUAUAUGUCAUAGGACUCCUGCAGCAACUGUUUCUGGUCUAUGAAGUUUCUCACUUCGUUUUGCACUGGGCAGUCAAGCAUGUUCUUUGAUAGGUACUUCUUUUGAUCAGAUUGUCUGAUAAAAGCAUUAGAUUUGGGCAAAACGAUGGGAACUAUUAGCUAAAGUUUUAACCUGAAAAUUGUUAGGGGGUUUACGUUUCAAGUGUAUAAUCGGAGCUUCUACAGUAGCAGUAUUUCACAUUCUGCUAUGAAAGCUCCAAGUAGCAUUGCUACCAUAGAUCGCACAUUAGUUCUUCCUUUAUUGCUUGCAAUUUAGGUAGACUAUAAUGGAAUGUAUUUCAUUCCAACACAUUUUGUCCAAGACAAAAGAAUAUUAAGCUCAUUUCUUUGGUGUUGAUGUUCUUUGUUUUACCUGCAUCUUUGUCUGCUUAGUACUUAACCAAUUAUCCUUUUGCUGUUUUAUUAGAGGGAGCUGUCUAUUUAUUGUGUCAGUUGCAUGCCCAGCCACCUUUUCGCAUUAGGUUCUAUUGCUUCUUUCCUACUGAAAUUGCUGUAGCGCAAGGUACUGUAUGGGAAAGCUAUAUUCUCAACGAUGGCAAUACACGGCAUGUUGACUCGAUGGGUCCAAGUCAAUUGAUGAAGCUCCUCCAUUUUUAUAUUUCUUCUAUUAACAUCACAACCAACAUUCUUAUUGGCAUGUCAGGGUAAUUUCAUAAAACAUUAAGAAAAAGAAGCUAAAACUAAAAGAACAUAAACAGUUUAUCCAUUGUAAUCACAAAGGACAAAUAGUAUGUCAGCUCAAUCUAAGAUAUUUCCAGUAAGCCUCAAGACCUGGAAAAGUUACUCAAGGCGCCAGCACCAAAAU
Nicotiana attenuata is the source of this 1257-nucleotide long non-coding RNA. RefSeq lists it as uncharacterized. Lineage: Eukaryota; Viridiplantae; Streptophyta; Magnoliopsida; Solanales; Solanaceae. The transcript has 4 exons. The record is from RefSeq and is a predicted model, not a curated record.